UCCAGGGUAGCCUAGUGGACAUGGCAUCUGCCCGGUAAACGGAGCACUGUGGGUUCGAUUCCCAUCCCUGGAU
This 73-nucleotide transfer RNA is filed under the name Cordylochernes scorpioides. Its description in RNAcentral is "tRNA-Thr". It matches the Rfam family "tRNA". Rfam says of the family: Transfer RNA (tRNA) molecules are approximately 80 nucleotides in length. Their secondary structure includes four short double-helical elements and three loops (D, anti-codon, and T loops). The record is from RNAcentral. Lineage: Eukaryota; Metazoa; Arthropoda; Arachnida; Pseudoscorpiones; Chernetidae.